UCAAGUUAUUAAGGGUGCAGGGCGGAUGCCUUGGCACUAGGAGCCGAUGAAGGACGUGAUAAGCUGCGAUAAGCUUCGGGGAGUUGCACGUAAACUUUGAUCCGAAGAUUUCCGAAUGAGGAAACUCACUUAGAGUAAUGUCUAAGUAUCAUUAAGUGAAUACAUAGCUUAAUGAGGGGAACUCAGGGAACUGAAACAUCUAAGUACCUGAAGGAAGAGAAAGAAAUUCGAUUCCGUAAGUAGCGGCGAGCGAACGCGGAUUAGCCCAAACCAAUAAAGUUUUCUUUAUUGGGGUUGCGGACAUAUCAUAACGAAGAGGUAUCGUAAUUGAAGAGGUUUGGAAAGACCCACCACAGAAGGUAAUAGUCCUGUAUGUUAAACGAGAAGACUUCAGAUAUGAUCCAGAGUACCACGGGACACGUGAAACCCUGUGGGAAGCAGGAGGGACCACCCUCCAAGGCUAAAUACUACCUAGUGACCGAUAGCGUAUAGUACCGUGAGGGAAAGGUGAAAAGAACCCCGGGAGGGGAGUGAAAUAGAACCUGAAACCCUGCACUUACAAGCUGUGGAAGCACAUUUCUUGUGUGACCGCGUACUUUUUGUAGAACGGGCCAACGAGUUACGUUAAGUAGCAAGGUUAAGCACUUAAGGUGCGGAGCCGUAGCGAAAGCGAGUUUUAACUGAGCGUUCAGUUACUUGACGUAGACCCGAAACCGGGCGACCUACCCAUGAGCAGGAUGAAGCGAAAGUAAAAUUUCGUGGAGGUCCGAACCCACGAGCGUUGAAAAGCUCGGGGAUGACUUGUGGGUAGCGGUGAAAUUCCAAUCGAGCCCGGAGAUAGCUGGUUCUCCCCGAAAUAGCUUUAGGGCUAGCCUCAAGGUGAGAGAUACGGAGGUAGAGCACUGAAUGUCCUAGGGGGUAUUGCACCUACCGAAGACUAUCAAACUCCGAAUGCCGUCAUCUUAUACUUGGGAGUCAGACUGUGGGUGAUAAGAUUCAUAGUCGAAAGGGCAACAGCCCAGAUCGUCAGCUAAGGUCCCUAAAUGUAAGUUAAGUGGUAAAGGAUGUGGGAUUGCACAGACAACCAGGAUGUUGGCUUAGAAGCAGCCACUCAUUCAAAGAGUGCGUAAUAGCUCACUGGUCGAGUGAUCCUGCGCCGAAGAUUUCCGGGGCUAAAACUUACUACCGAAGCUACGGCAUCAGUAAUGAUGGGUAGGGGAGCUUCCCAUACGGGUUGAAGCAUGACCGUAAGGACAUGUGGACAGUAUGGGAGUGAGAAUGUUGGCAUGAGUAGCGAGAUGUGGGUGAGAAUCCCACAGGCCGUAAACCCAAGGUUUCCAGGGGAAGGUUCGUCCGCCCUGGGUUAGUCGGGACCUAAGCUGAGGCCGAAAGGCGUAGGUGAUGGACAACAGGUUGAUAUUCCUGUACUACCGAUAACCGUUUGAGAGAAGGGAUGACACAGUAGGAUAAGCUAAGCACACUGUUGGUUAUGUGUGCCCAAGCAUUGAGGCAGUCAAAGUAGGCAAAUCCGCUUUGAUAAUGCUGGGAUGUGAUGGGGAGCGAAAUUUAGUAGCGAAGUAGCUGAUUUCACACUGUCAAGAAAAGUCUCUAUCGAGGUUAAAGGUACCCGUACCGCAAACCGACACAGGUGGGUGAGGAGAGUAUCCUAAGGCCAGCGAGAGAACUGUUGUUAAGGAACUCGGCAAAAUGACCCCGUAACUUAGGGAUAAGGGGUGCCACCAUCAGGUGGCCGCAGAGAAUAGGCCCAAGCGACUGUUUACCAAAAACAUAGGUUUCUGCUAAGUCGCAAGACGAUGUAUAGGAGCUGACGCCUGCCCGGUGCUGGAAGGUUAAGGGGAUCUGUUAGAGCAAUCGAAGCAGUGAACUUAAGCCCCAGUAAACGGCGGCCGUAACUAUAACGGUCCUAAGGUAGCGAAAUUCCUUGUCGGGUAAGUUCCGACCCGCACGAAAGGCGUAACGAUUUGGGCACUGUCUCAACAACAGACUCGGUGAAAUUGUAAUUCCGGUGAAGAUGCCGGAUACCUGCGACAGGACGGAAAGACCCCAUGGAGCUUUACUGUAGCUUGACAUUGGGUCUUGGUACUACAUGUACAGGAUAGGUGGGAGGCUUUGAAACCAGGACGCCAGUUUUGGCGGAGCCAUCCUUGGGAUACCACCCUUGUAGUACUGGGACUCUAACCAUAGGCCAUGAAUCUGGUCUUGGGACACUGUCAGGUGGGCAGUUUGACUGGGGCGGUCGCCUCCCAAAAGGUAACGGAGGCGCUCAAAGGUUCUCUCAGUACGGUCGGAAAUCGUACGUAGAGUGUAAAGGCAAAAGAGAGCUUGAUUGCAAGACAUACAGGUCGAGCAAGGAUGAAAAUCGGACUUAGUGAUCCGGUGGUUCUGCGUGGAAGGGCCAUCGCUCAACGGAUAAAAGCUACCCUGGGGAUAACAGGCUUAUCUCCCCCAAGAGUCCACAUCGACGGGGAGGUUUGGCACCUCGAUGUCGGCUCAUCACAUCCUGGGGCUGUAGUAGGUCCCAAGGGUUGGGCUGUUCGCCCAUUAAAGUGGUACGCGAGCUGGGUUCAGAACGUCGUGAGACAGUUCGGUCCCUAUCCGUCGCAGGCGUAGGAAAUUUGAGAAGACCUGUCCUUAGUACGAGAGGACCGGGAUGGACGUACCUCUGGUGUACCAGUUGUNCUGCCAAGGGCAUGGCUGGGUAGCUAUGUACGGAAUGGAUAAGCGCUGAAAGCAUCUAAGCGCGAAGCCAACUUCAAGAUAAGAUUUCCCACCGCAAGGGUAAGACCCCAGAAAGACUAUCUGGUUGAUAGGUCGAAGGUGUAAGUGCAGCAAUGUAUUUAGCUUAUCGAUACUAAUAGGUCGAGGACUUGACCAA
This 2896-nucleotide ribosomal RNA is filed under the name Clostridioides difficile. RNAcentral's name for it is "23S ribosomal RNA". It matches the Rfam family "Bacterial large subunit ribosomal RNA". Lineage: Bacteria; Bacillati; Bacillota; Clostridia; Peptostreptococcales; Peptostreptococcaceae. The record is from RNAcentral.